Molecule: ribosomal RNA, 465 nt
Filed under: uncultured bacterium
Lineage: Bacteria
Description: partial 16S ribosomal RNA
Rfam family: Bacterial small subunit ribosomal RNA
Source: RNAcentral
GACGAACGCUGGCGGCGUGCUUAACACAUGCAAGUCGAACGGAAAGGCCCCUUUGGGGGUACUCGAGUGGCGAACGGGGGAGUAACACGUGAGUAACCUGCCCUUGAAUUCGGGAUAACUUCAGGAAACUGGGGCUAAUACCGGAUAGGAAUCCUUGCUGCAUGGUGGGGGUUGGAAAGAUUCGGCGGUUUUGGAUGGACUCGCGGCUUAUCAGCUUGUUGGUGGGGUAGUGGCUUACCAAGGCGUUGACGGGUAGCCGGCCUGAGAGGGCGACCGGCCACAUUGGGACUGAGAUACGGCCCAGACUCCUACGGGUGGCAGCAGUGGGGAAUCUUGCACAAUGGGCGGCAGCCUGAUGCAGCAACGCCGCGUGCGGGAUGACGGCCUUCGGGUUGUAAACCGCUUUCAGCAGGGGCGAAGCUUGUGGUGACGGUACCUGCAGAAGAAGCACCGGCUAACUACGUG